GAUGAACGCUGGCGGCGUGCCUAAUACAUGCAAGUCGAUCGAACGGACGAGAAGCUUGCUUCUCUGAUGUUAGCGGCGGACUGGUGAGUAACACGUGGAUAACCUACCUAUAAUACUGGGAUAACUUCGGGAAACCGGAGCUAAUACCUGAUAAUAUUUUGAACCGCAUGGUUCAAAAGUGAAAGACGGUCUUGCUGUCACUUAUAGAUGGAUCCGCGCUGCAUUAGCUAGUUGGUAAGGUAACGGCUUACCAAGGCAACGAUGCAUAGCCGACCUGAGAGGGUGAUCGGCCACACUGGAACUGAGACACGGUCCAGACUCCUACGGGAGGCAGCAGUAGGGAAUCUUCCGCAAUGGGCGAAAGCCUGACGGAGCAACGCCGCGUGAGUGAUGAAGGUCUUCGGAUCGUAAAACUCUGUUAUUAGGGAAGAACAUAUGUGUAAGUAACUGUGCACAUCUUGACGGUACAUAAUCAGAAAGCCACGGCUAACUACGUG
Molecule: ribosomal RNA, 497 nt
Filed under: uncultured bacterium
Lineage: Bacteria
Description: partial 16S ribosomal RNA
Rfam family: Bacterial small subunit ribosomal RNA
Source: RNAcentral